This 714-nucleotide non-coding RNA is filed under the name Trichochrysea japana. The record is from RNAcentral. Lineage: Eukaryota; Metazoa; Arthropoda; Insecta; Coleoptera; Chrysomelidae.
GUUUUAUAUAUACAUGUAUAUUUUAUUAUUAAAGAAUUUUUUGGCAGUAUUUAAUUUUAAAUAUUUUGUUAUUAAAGAUUUAGUUAAAAAUUUUAGUUUCAACAAAUUUUGUGCCAGCAGUUGCGGUUAUACUAUUGAAGCAAUAAAAUUUUUUAAAUUAUUAUUUAAUUAUUUUAAUAAAAAAUGUUUUAGGUAAUUUUAGGUGAAAUUUUAUUAUUUGAUUUAUUUUUAAUUUUUGAUUUUGAUUAUAAGAAUUCUGGAAUUUAAACAAGGAUUAGAUACCCUUUUAUUCUUGAAAUAAAUAUUUUGAUUGAUUAGUAUUAGAUAUGUUCUUGAAAAUUAAAGAUUUUGGCGGUAUUUUAGUCUAGUUAGAGGAAUCUGUCCUGUAAUUGAUAUUCCACAAUAAUUUUUACCUUAGUUUUGUUUGUAUAUCGUUGUUGUUAAGUAUUUUAUAAAAUUAAAAAUUCUUUAAAUUUUUGUUAGAAAAUAAUUCAGAUCAAGGUGCAGCUUUGUAAGGAUAGAGAUGGAUUACAUUAAUUUUAUGAAAGGAUAAACAAAAAAUGAAUUGUUUUGAAUUUGGAUUUAAAAGUAAUUUAAGUAUUUUAACUUAAAUGAUUAAAGCUCUAGGAUAUGUACAUAUUGCCCGUCGCUUUCAUUUUAAUUUGAAAUAAGUCGUAACAUAGUAGAUUUACUGGAAGGUAAAUCUAGAAAGAU